RNAcentral lists this ribosomal RNA (274 nucleotides) under uncultured bacterium. RNAcentral's name for it is "partial 16S ribosomal RNA". It matches the Rfam family "Bacterial small subunit ribosomal RNA", at positions 523 to 796 of the family's 1533-position model. The record is from RNAcentral.
AUACGGAGGGUGCGAGCGUUGUUCGGAAUUAUUGGGCGUAAAGAGCAUGUAGGCGGUCUGUUAAGUCUGGUGUGAAAGCCCGGGGCUCAACCCCGGAAGUGCAUUGGAUACUGGCAGACUUGAGUAUGGGAGAGGAAAGCGGAAUUCCGAGUGUAGGAGUGAAAUCCGUAGAUAUUCGGAGGAACACCAGUGGCGAAGGCGGCUUUCUGGACCAAUACUGACGCUGAGAUGCGAAAGCGUGGGGAGCAAACAGAAUUAGAAACCCGUGUAGUCC